AAAGAGAGUCUCACAAAAGACCUAAAUGGACUAAAAACAGAAAAACAAAAAUUGGCACUAGAACUUGAAAAGUACAAGCCUUUUGUAGAAAAAUUUACAUAUAGCUCAGAAAAAUUAGAAAUGAUACUUAAUAGUCAACGAGCUGUGUUCAAUAGAGCUGGUUUAGGGUAUAAACCUAAAAAUAAGCAAAAGCUCCUUAGUAAUUUCUUUGUAAAAGCAGGGAAAAGCAAAACUAAGAAAAUAACAUAUUUUUGCUGUGGAACAUUAGGACAUAAAGCAAAUGUGUGUGAUUAUAGAAAAG
RNAcentral lists this long non-coding RNA (301 nucleotides) under Phoenix dactylifera (date palm). RNAcentral's name for it is "long non-coding RNA (PDAC_LNC019499)". The record is from RNAcentral. Lineage: Eukaryota; Viridiplantae; Streptophyta; Magnoliopsida; Arecales; Arecaceae.